RNAcentral lists this ribosomal RNA (269 nucleotides) under uncultured prokaryote. Its description in RNAcentral is "partial 16S ribosomal RNA". It matches the Rfam family "Bacterial small subunit ribosomal RNA", at positions 524 to 792 of the family's 1533-position model. The record is from RNAcentral.
UACGUAGGUGGCGAGCGUUGUCCGGAUUUACUGGGCGUAAAGGGAGCGUAGGCGGACUUUUAAGUGAGAUGUGAAAUACCCGGGCUCAACUUGGGUGCUGCAUUCCAAACUGGAAGUCUAGAGUGCAGGAGAGGAGAAUGGAAUUCCUAGUGUAGCGGUGAAAUGCGUAGAGAUUAGGAAGAACACCAGUGGCGAAGGCGAUUCUCUGGACUGUAACUGACGCUGAGGCUCGAAAGCGUGGGGAGCAAACAGGAUUAGAUACCCCCGUA